This 632-nucleotide long non-coding RNA is filed under the name Capsicum annuum. Its description in RNAcentral is "long non-coding RNA (CANN_LNC002219)". Lineage: Eukaryota; Viridiplantae; Streptophyta; Magnoliopsida; Solanales; Solanaceae. The record is from RNAcentral.
AAAAAUUAAAAAAUCCAUCAGAUUUCUCAUUCUCUCUCUCUAAAAAUCCUUCUCCUCUCUCACUUUCUUUCUCUCCCAAAAACUACCGCCUCAUCUGCUUCAUUUUUGGGCAGCGAAACUCGCCGGAUUCCAGCGACCACCAACAACUUCAUCCUAACUCACCAGCCGUACCCCAUUCCCACUCUCUCAUCUCCCUUUCUCUCCCUCACACUCCCCUCCGCCGCCCGCUUUGACCAAACCACCAUGACGUCGCUGAUCCUUUGCCCUUUCGCCUUUCCGCUUAUUUUUCGCCGGAUGUGGUGACCGAUGAAACCUCCGGCAAAACGAUAAAAACUGGAGCACAACAAAACCUUUUUCCCUCUAUUUUUUUCUUCUCUUUUAUAUCAUCAUUGUUCAGAUUUAUUUUUGAAGAUUUUCUGUAUUUUUUUUCAUGAUUAUGGUUGGUUGAUUAUUUUUCUUAUAUUUUAUUUUGUUAAGUUUUUAAUAUUUUUAGUUUUUAUUUUAAUUUUAAACUGAUUUCACACGUAUUAUUUGAUUUUCCUAUAACUUAACUAUUGCUUUGCCUUCAAUUUUCUCGUUCCUUACUUUUAUGCUACUGUUAUAUUUGUGUGGAAUAGUUGCUGCUAUUAUUU